RNAcentral lists this ribosomal RNA (648 nucleotides) under uncultured Enterobacterales bacterium. RNAcentral's name for it is "bacterial SSU rRNA". It matches the Rfam family "Bacterial small subunit ribosomal RNA", at positions 80 to 724 of the family's 1533-position model. Lineage: Bacteria; Pseudomonadati; Pseudomonadota; Gammaproteobacteria; Enterobacterales. The record is from RNAcentral.
GCUCUCGGGUGACGAGUGGCGGACGGGUGAGUAAUGUCUGGGAAACUGCCUGAUGGAGGGGGAUAACUACUGGAAACGGUAGCUAAUACCGCAUAACGUCGCAAGACCAAAGAGGGGGACCUUCGGGCCUCUUGCCAUCAGAUGUGCCCAGAUGGGAUUAGCUAGUAGGUGGGGUAACGGCUCACCUAGGCGACGAUCCCUAGCUGGUCUGAGAGGAUGACCAGCCACACUGGAACUGAGACACGGUCCAGACUCCUACGGGAGGCAGCAGUGGGGAAUAUUGCACAAUGGGCGCAAGCCUGAUGCAGCCAUGCCGCGUGUAUGAAGAAGGCCUUCGGGUUGUAAAGUACUUUCAGCGGGGAGGAAGGUGUUGCGGUUAAUAACCGCAGCAAUUGACGUUACCCGCAGAAGAAGCACCGGCUAACUCCGUGCCAGCAGCCGCGGUAAUACGGAGGGUGCAAGCGUUAAUCGGAAUUACUGGGCGUAAAGCGCACGCAGGCGGUCUGUCAAGUCGGAUGUGAAAUCCCCGGGCUCAACCUGGGAACUGCAUUCGAAACUGGCAGGCUAGAGUCUUGUAGAGGGGGGUAGAAUUCCAGGUGUAGCGGUGAAAUGCGUAGAGAUCUGGAGGAAUACCGGUGGCGAAGGCGG